This 460-nucleotide ribosomal RNA is filed under the name uncultured bacterium. RNAcentral's name for it is "partial 16S ribosomal RNA". It matches the Rfam family "Bacterial small subunit ribosomal RNA", at positions 338 to 795 of the family's 1533-position model. The record is from RNAcentral.
CCUACGGGCGGCAGCAGUGAGGAAUAUUGGUCAAUGGACGCAAGUCUGAACCAGCCAUGCCGCGUGCAGGAAGACGGCUCUAUGAGUUGUAAACUGCUUUUGUACGAGGGUAAACGCAGAUACGUGUAUCUGUCUGAAAGUAUCGUACGAAUAAGGAACGGCUAACUCCGUUCCAGCAGCCGCGGUCAUACGGAGGAUUCAAGCGUUAUCCGGAUUUAUUGGGUUUAAAGGGUGCGUAGGCGGUCGGAUAAGUUAGACGUGAAAUCCCGGGGCUCAACUUCGGAAUUGCCUCUGAUACUGUUUGGCUAGAGAGUAGUUGCGGUAGGCGGAAUGUAUGGUGUAGCGGUGAAAUGCUUAGAGAUCAUACAGAACACCGAUUGCGAAGGCAGCUUACCGAGCUACUUCUGACGUUGAGGCACGAAAGCGUGGGGAGCAAACAGGAUUAGAUACCCUAGUAGUC